UACAGAGGUGGCAAGCGUUGUUCGGAAUUACUGGGCGUAAAGGGCGCGUAGGCGGUUCGAUAAGUCCCGUGUGAAAUCCCUCGGCUCAACUGAGGAACUGCCUUUGAAACUGUCGGGCUUGAGGCCGGGAGGGGGUAGCGGAAUUCCCAGUGUAGCGGUGAAAUGCGUAGAUAUUGGGAGGAACACCGGUGGCGAAGGCGGCUACCUGGACCGGUUCUGACGCUGAUGCGCGAAAGCGUGGGUAGCAAACAGG
Molecule: ribosomal RNA, 253 nt
Filed under: uncultured bacterium
Lineage: Bacteria
Description: partial 16S ribosomal RNA
Rfam family: Bacterial small subunit ribosomal RNA
Source: RNAcentral